This 2556-nucleotide long non-coding RNA is filed under the name Olea europaea subsp. europaea. The record is from RNAcentral. Lineage: Eukaryota; Viridiplantae; Streptophyta; Magnoliopsida; Lamiales; Oleaceae.
UUACUCCCAAAAAAGCCCAAUUUUAUGCCUUUUGAUCCUGCUGCCAGGGGCGAAGCCAGCUUAGGAUGAACUUCUGGUGCUCUCUGCGUCUGAUUAUGGUGCCCGCACUGACAAUUUCUUCAACUGGUGCUCUCUGAGUUUGAUUAUGGUGUUUUUCUUUUUUAAAGCUGAAGCCCACACGUCGGCAUAUGGCAAUGAGUGAAAAAGCCCAACAAAUGCCCAAUAAGGUAAUACUAUCAACCAAUAUUCAAACCCAAUUUUCAAUUUCAACCCAUUCGUAAUUCAUUCAUCAUUCUUCCAUACUCCACCCGUGUCCGCCGACCUCCCGCUUCCGAGUCUCUGACUUUUAUCUGUCACCUUCAACGUUGAACUUCUCAAUCGAGGCAGUCGGCAGACCUUCGAGCCCUAGACGCAGGUCACGCACGCAGCAGCAGCACCUUUGAAAUAGAGUCCUUGAACUUCUCAAGAUGCGGCAGCCAGUAGCAGACCCUUAGUCCUUGACCUUCGAUUCGUGACGCCAUCAUAGGCACAUCAAAAGAAGAAGGUGAGCCCCCUGAUUUUGAUUCCUGAACUCUAAAGCCUACUCAAGUUUUUGUUUAGUUUUUAUCUGUUGACAGUUAUUUGCUUAUUUUGAUUUAUGUAGUUGUAAUUGUUUCUUUUUAACAUAUGAAAUUACUUUUGAAAUGCUUGAAGUCUUGAAUUGCUUUUGAAUGCUCUUGAAAUUAGACCUAGGAGCCUCAGGCUGUGAAACCCUUGAACCUCAUUGACUGAUUCGGUGAUUACUGAAGCAUACUGCCAGCCCACUCAAGUCUCAAUGUUAAUGGACUCGCUACUCCGUGACUGUGAGUUCACUUACUUUGUGACUGGAGCUUGAUUCCAAUUCCAUGUUGCUAAAAUGCUAAAUUGCUAAUGCUGCCUCUCUGUGACUGUAAAAUCAUUUUGUGACUGUGAGUUGCUAAUCAUUCAUGACUAAAAACUUGAUGGUGUGGACAAAAUUGUGCCCGCACUGAAAAAGAAUCCUGGCUCCGCCCCUACCUGCUGCCCCCGCUCUUUUCUAUGGUUGUUUAUAUAAAUUUUUUUGCUUUCUUUUCUCUUUAGUUGGCGCGUAUGUAAAUAUCCUUCCACAGUCGCAAACUUGUAUUGUUAAUUCCCAUAUGUAUUCCAACUACCAUUGAAUUCCAGCCCAAGUACAAGUCAUGUUGAGGCGCAUUUAUACCUUAUUUUUCUCCAAGUCCUCAAUUAUUUUAAAAUCAUACAAUUUAAUCCUUGAACCCGAUUAAUUAUGCAACCAAUGUCUUUCUUUAGUUCAAUUAAAGUACUUAAACUUUCAAAGUAUAGAAUUUGAUCCCAAACUUUAUGGGUUGCAUCACAUUUUGAAAUCACUGAAUGCAUUGUCUAAGAGCCAUGAAAAAAAUUUGAAGCAAUUUUCGUCCUCUGUUUUAAUAAAAAAUGUCGAGUCAUGAUUAGCUUUCCCCAUGUUAUGGUAAUGCCUAGCCAAUUUAGCAUAACUUUCCUCGGUCGAACCCAUUAAAUCUUCCAACGUGCAUUCUUUGGCUUUCUAGGCAUUCUGGUAGCUCAUGAUCACUCUGUACUGUCGAUGAAUGUCAUUAAUGAUGUUCGGAAGUUUGUAAAUCGUUCGUGGGUCCUGAUAUUUUUACAUUAUUUGUCGACCAAUAAAUCAUGCUCAAGUUUGUCUGUGAUUGUUUCGACGACUUCCCACUUCACAAGUAUAUUCCCAUAUAUACUUGUGAACCACAAAUAACUCAUUUGUGUCAAUCUUAGUCCCUCGCAAGCGCUAACGGAAACUGUCGUUGACGCAAACAAUUGUCAACAAUUACUCGUUCUAUUUCUUUAUCUUGAACCCAAAGUUGUAUUUUAAUGUUAUCCGGUGCACAACUUUCUACAAAUUUUUCUUUGUUUCAAAUGGUUGCUCGACAUGCAAAUCCUCAUCGUCAAGAACCACAAGCAAAGAAUUAGAGGACGGUCCACUCAAUCCAGCAUAUGAGCUCCCACUUCGCUCAUGUCUGUGACGGUAUAAAACAAUCAAAACCUCAUUUGCAAAUUCAUUUUCAUUCUUGUUGUCGUGAACUACUUACGAAAUUCUGUGCGUAAUAGCUAGAUCAUGAUGAGGAGCAACUGCCUUAGAAAUAACCACAUCAUCAUCGUGAGUUAUCUCCAUUGUGUCCCAAAAUUCAUUGACAUUAUCAUUCGCUCCAUCCGAAUUUUCAUGUUCACUUUUAGCGAUAUCCUUCCCCAUUAAAGUCAAAAAUAGAAAAGUCGUGUGCAUUUUGUUCAAUUCAAGUAUCAGAAGUAACUUUCAUAGAUGGAAUCAGAAUGGACGAAUGUUCAGCAUCAGAAGUAACCUUCCAACAUACGAUGUACUCUCUGAUAUGUAAAUUGGAAUACUACCACAUAGAUCACUCGUCCAUUUCUAUACACAUCGAUAUUUUUCAUCCAAUUCGAAAUCAUAAAAGUAACAAAUUGGAAUUACAACUAUAUCUGUAUCAUGUAACAAACUUUUUAAUUAUAAGGAAAAUUAGUCAGAAAUUUGGAUCA